Molecule: RNA transcript, 1665 nt
Organism: Diceros bicornis minor
Lineage: Eukaryota; Metazoa; Chordata; Mammalia; Perissodactyla; Rhinocerotidae
Gene name: patr class I histocompatibility antigen, B-2 alpha chain-like
Exons: 8
Source: RefSeq, a predicted model, not a curated record
CCUGCCUGGAGACUCAUGACGCGGCCCCAGUUCUCACUCCCAUUGCGUGUCCGGUUUCUAGAGACGCCAAUCAGCGUCUCCGCGGUUCCGGGUUAUAAAGUCUCCACCGAUCCGCAAGAACUCAGUCUCCCCAGACUCCGAAGAUGAGGGUUAUGAUGCCGCCAACCUUCCUCCUCCUGCUCUCGGGGGCCCUGACCCUGACCGAGACCUGGGCGGGCUCCCACUCCCUGAGGUAUUUCUACACCGCCGUGUCCCGGCCCGGCCGCGGGGAGCCCCGCCUCAUCGCCGUCGGCUACGUGGACGACACGCAGUUCGUGCGGUUCGACAGCGACGCCCCGAAUCCGAGGAAGGAGCCGCGGGCGCCGUGGGUGGAGCAGGAGGGGCCGGAGUAUUGGGAGCGGGAGACGCGGAUCUCUAAGGAAAACGCACAGAUUUUCCGAGUGAGCCUGAACAACCUGCGCGGCUACUACAACCAGAGCGAGGCCGACUCUCACACCCUCCAGUGGAUGCACGGCUGCGACGUGGGGCCGGACGGGCGCCUCCGCCGCGGGUACAGUCAGUUCGCCUACGACGGCAAAGAUUACAUCUCCCUGAACGAGGACCUGCGCUCCUGGACCGCGGCGGACACGGCGGCUCAGAUCUCCCGGCGCAAGUGGGAGGCGGCCGGUGUGGCGGAGAGCUACAGGAACUACGCAGAGGGCCGGUGCAUGGAGGGGCUCCGCAGAUACCUGGAGAACGGGAAGGAGACGCUGCAGAGCGCAGAUCCCCCAAAGACACACCUGACCCACCACCUCAUCUCUGACCGUGAGGUCACCCUGAGGUGCUGGGCCCUGGGCUUCUACCCUGCGGAGAUCACCCUGACUUGGCAGCAUGAUGGGGAGGACCUCACUCAGGACACAGAGCUUGGGGAGACCAGGCCUGCAGGGGAUGAGACCUUCCAGAAGUGGGCGGCUGUGGUUGUGCCUUCUGGAGAGGAGCAGAGAUACAGCUGCCAUGUGCAACAUGAGGGGCUGCCUGAACCUGUCACCCUGAGAUGGGAGCCACCUCCUCAGCCCACCAUCCCCAUUGUGGGCAUCAUUGCUGGCCUGGUUCUCUUCGUGGUCAUUGUAGCUGUGGUGGCUGGAAUUGUGAUCUGGAGAAAGAAGCGCUCAGGUGAAAAAAGAGGGAGCUACAUGCAGGCUGCAGCCAGUGACAGUGCCCAGGGCUCUGAUGUGUCUCUCACGGAUCCUAAAGUGUGAGACAGCUGCUUUGUGGGGGACUGAAUGAUGCAGGAUUUCUUCACACUCCCACUUUGUGAGUUGAAGAACCCUGACUUCUCUUUCUACAACUGGCAUCUGAAUCUGUCUGCGUUCCUAUUAGCAUAAUAUGAGGAGUUGGGGAGAUUCGUCCACCUCCUGCCCACCACGACCCCCUCCCGACACUGCCCUGUUUUCUUCCCCGAUGGACUUUCCUGUUCCAGCAGAGGCAGGGCUGGGCUGUCUCUAUCCUUGUCUUAACUUCAUGUUGCACUGAGUAGUAAUAACUAGCUUCUUAUUGAAAAUAAGAAUCUAGAUAUGAAUUUCUCUUUUCCAAUUCUUGUCAUAAGGGAUUGAUGUGUUAAUUAAAGGAAAAAUUUCCUAAAGUUUGAGACAGGAAAUAAAUGAAAACACUGAGAACCUUCUAGAA